This 447-nucleotide ribosomal RNA is filed under the name uncultured bacterium. RNAcentral describes it as "bacterial SSU rRNA". It matches the Rfam family "Bacterial small subunit ribosomal RNA", at positions 28 to 505 of the family's 1533-position model. The record is from RNAcentral.
GAUGAACGCUGGCGGUGCGCCUAACACAUGCAAGUCGAACGUGAUAUAGAGAAUUUAUUUUCUAUUGAAAGUGGCGAACGAGUGAGUAACACGUAGGAAUCUGCCCCGAACUCAGGGAUAACGCGGCGAAAGUCGUGCUAAUACCGGAUAGUCUCGUAAGAGUAAAGCUUUUGCGGUUCGGGAGGAGCCUGCGGCCUAUCAGCUAGUUGGUGAGGUAAAAGCUCACCAAGGCAACGACGGGUAGCUGGUCUGAGAGGAUGACCAGUCACGAUGGAACUGAGACACGGUCCAUACUCCUACGGGAGGCAGCAGUGAGGAAUCUUCCGCAAUGGACGAAAGUCUGACGGAGCGACACCGCGUGAAGGAUGAAGGCCCAUGGGUCGUAAACUUCUUUUCUAGAGGAAGAAGAUCUGACGGUACUCUAGGAAUAAGCCCCGGCUAAUUACG